UAUGUCAGUUCCAUCAGCACUCCAGAUGAGGCAAGACAGAAGUCAGUCCCUCCUUUGGGCAGACCACCAACCUGGAGACAGCAGAUGCAUACCUCACUAUGUCUUUUUCCCUCAGGGAGAAGUUACAGGACAAGGUGAUUUCACUUGGAGCUGAGUUUUGCCAGACUUGGGGAAAUAUUAAUGCAGGUCUGUUGCCUGGCUGGAGUGCAGUGGAGCGAUCAUCACUCACAGCAACCUCCACCUUCUGGGUUGGAGCGAUUCUACUGCCUCAGCCUACUGAGUAGCUGGGACUACAGGCUGGAGUGCAAUGGCAUGAUCUCAGCUCAUCGCAACCUCUGCCUCCCAGGUUCAAGCAAUUCUCCUGCCUCAGCCUACCAAAUAGCUGGGAUUACAAGCCUGUGCCACCAUGCUGGCUAAUUUUGUACUUUGAGUUUCUACAUGUUGGUCAGGCUGGUCUGGAAUUUCAUUCCUCAGGUGACCUGACCACCUCAGCCUCCCAAAGUGCUGGAAUUAUAGGUGUGAGCCACCGCACCCAGCUUUAGAACAUUAUUAUAAGUGUUAUAGAUAUGGUCUGAGAAAAAGGCUAUUUCUUCAAGAAAAAAAAAUUGAAAGCACUAUUCAGCAUUAAAAAAGGAAUAAACUAUUGUUUCAUACUACAAUUGUGAUAAAUCUCAAAAUCAUUAUACUAGAUGAAAGAAACCAGGCAACAAAAGUACAUACUGCACCAAAUAAUUUAUAUAGAACUCUAGAAAAUGCAAUGUAAUCUAUGUAAUGAAUGAAAACACACCAGUGGUUACAUGGGAAGGAGAUUUUUGGGAGGGAGAGAGGAAUUUAAAAAGGUCUUGUUGGAGAACUAGAUAUGUUCACUAUUUUAAUUCUGCUGAUAGAAUCAUGAGUAUAUCCACAUGUCAAAGCAUAUCAAAUUGUACCCUUGAAAUACGUACAGAUUUAUUAUAUUGACAGGGGAGACCCCCUCCCCAUCUCCCUCCUCACCUCCGAAUGAGAAGGAGGGUAAAGAGAAAUAAAAUGCCGAAGAGCUUAAAUACCUGGUCAGGCAACUUGUUGGCACCACUGACCAGACUGUAAAGAGGCCCAAGGACUGGGAAAAUAACUCCCUUUUCUGUUCCCAGAGCCUCUGCUAUCUGUAAGCCUUGAAAUACUACCAGCCGGAGCCUGGCACUGGAUCAUAUCUUCCACAUUUGCAUGACCCAGGCCCCCUUCUGAAAAUAAAUCUAUCAACUAAUGAUUUACUGCCUUUGUCUUAUUUCUGUAAACCCUCUCCCCUUCCUGUUUCCGUUCGAGCUGCAUGUGAACUAGAAAAUCAAUAAAGCCAAAGAUUGUGAGGUCAAAUGUCCAACCAAUGGAUAAUAACACAGUUUCACCUCUGCACCGCUUUAGAGUUGUAAACCCUUAAAAAAGGAAAGAAGCUGCUUCUUCGAGAGCUCAGUGGUCAAAGCAUUAGCCUCCCACAGCUCCUGGUCAAAUAAAAAGACACUUCCUUUCUCAGUUUGGUGUUGGAGAGGUUUGUUCCCCACCAAUCCUGCUACAAUGUUUCAACUAUAACAGUAGAGCUGUUAAACAGAUUGAAAACUACCACUAUUAAUUAAUAAACAAAUCUUUACUGAAAAGGGAGUUUACAUUGCUGUGAGCACUGAUUGAUGAAUCAAAGAGGAAAAAAGUUGAGGAGGAAGAGAAAAGUAAAAUUUAC
Long non-coding RNA from Callithrix jacchus (white-tufted-ear marmoset), 1708 nucleotides. NCBI's taxonomy places the organism in Eukaryota, Metazoa, Chordata, Mammalia, Primates, Cebidae. The record is from Ensembl.